RNAcentral lists this ribosomal RNA (407 nucleotides) under uncultured bacterium. RNAcentral describes it as "partial 16S ribosomal RNA". It matches the Rfam family "Bacterial small subunit ribosomal RNA", at positions 28 to 526 of the family's 1533-position model. The record is from RNAcentral.
GAUGAACGCUAGCUAUAGGCUUAACACAUGCAAGUCGAGGGACCGGCGCACGGGUGAGUAACGCGUAUCCAACCUGCCCAUAACUAAGGGCUAACCCAGCGAAAGUUGGACUUAUUCCUUAUGGUUAUGGAUGGGGAUGCGUCGGAUUAGCUUGUUGGCGGGGUAACGGCCCACCAAGGCAGCGAUCAGGAGGGGUUCUGAGAGGAAGGUCCCCCACAUUGGAACGGAGACACGGUCCAACAGCCUACGAGAGGCAGCAGUGAGGGAUAUUGGUCAAUGGACGCAAGUCGGAACCAGCCAAGUAGCGUGCAGGAGGACGGCAUAUGGGUGGUAAACUGCUUUUAUAUGGGGAUAGGUACCAGAUGAAUAAGGACCGGCUAAUUCCGUGCCAGCAGCCGCGGUAAUUC